This 254-nucleotide ribosomal RNA is filed under the name uncultured bacterium. Its description in RNAcentral is "partial 16S ribosomal RNA". It matches the Rfam family "Bacterial small subunit ribosomal RNA", at positions 524 to 777 of the family's 1533-position model. The record is from RNAcentral.
UACGGAGGGGGCUAGCGUUGUUCGGAAUUACUGGGCGUAAAGCGCACGUAGGCGGCUUUGUAAGUUAGAGGUGAAAGCCCGGAGCUCAACUCCGGAAUUGCCUUUAAGACUGCAUCGCUUGAAUCAUGGAGAGGUGAGUGGAAUUCCGAGUGUAGAGGUGAAAUUCGUAGAUAUUCGGAAGAACACCAGUGGCGAAGGCGACUCACUGGACAUGUAUUGACGCUGAGGUGCGAAAGCGUGGGGAGCAAACAGGG